Molecule: antisense RNA, 75 nt
Filed under: Embleya hyalina
Lineage: Bacteria; Bacillati; Actinomycetota; Actinomycetes; Kitasatosporales; Streptomycetaceae
Description: ASpks TB sRNA
Rfam family: ASpks TB sRNA
Source: RNAcentral
CUUCACCGACCCCAACCACAACGGCCGAUCCGGCGCCCGAUCCCGGCCGUAGGUCGCGAGCAGUGCCUGUGCCUC